This is a long non-coding RNA of Spodoptera frugiperda (fall armyworm), 1083 nucleotides long. RefSeq lists it as uncharacterized. The transcript is spliced from 2 exons. The record is from RefSeq and is a predicted model, not a curated record. NCBI's taxonomy places the organism in Eukaryota, Metazoa, Arthropoda, Insecta, Lepidoptera, Noctuidae.
UCAUAUUGCAAAAAUGGGUUUUUCCACCUUGGUCGUUAUCAACAAAAGUCGCGGUCCAUUCUAAAAGUUUUCUAAGUCUGUGUCCAUAUCGAUGUUCCUCGCAAAUUCUUAUUUAUAGUGUGGUCCGGUCGUGUUCAGUCACAGUUCUCAUUUUGAACGCCAAGUGACAACAUAGGUUCAUUAACCUCCCAGUGGUUUAUUGUGUAUAAAUAAAAAAAAAUAUCGAAGAAAAUGGCCGCCUACAAAGUUGUGCUAGCACUCGCCGUCUUAAUUGCUGUCGUAAAAGCCCAGAGACCUUUCUACGCUGGACUCAGCCCAAUUGGAUACCCAGCGGUGGAAACAGACCUCAUUUCAAACAGAUUCGGUGAAGAUGAAGACUUCCCAAUUGACGCCAGAGGUGAUAGGAACCUCAUCAACCGAUUGGAUGCCCUUCCCAUGGACAACCAACCCUUCUGGUACCUCAACUGGAGGCAAUACGAAAACUUCAGACGCAACCCACAAGCCUACCCCCAGAGGCCAAACAACUUCAUCGGCACCAGAUAAUCGGUUAAAAAAUCGAGAAAGUGCAUCGAUUUAGAAUCUCCAUUUUAUGUAUUCGAUUCAUGACUGACAAUUUAAUUCGAAUCGAAAUUGGAAUUUGAUAGAACUGGUUUGACUUUCGAACGUCCGCCUGAGAUUCUGAAUUUAAACAGUAUUAUUAUAAAAUUUCGUUUGUUUUUUUUUGUAGUAGGUAUGUGUAGUGAUGUGCCAACUCGGGAAAAACAAAACUCGAUUUAACUCGAGUUAAAAUCCAUGUAACUCGGGUUGAACUCGAAUUACGUAACUCGAGUUAACUGGAUUGACAAGUAAAUGUUUUUUGAGCUUUUUCCAAAUUAUUCCCUCAACUUGGCAUAAAUACUUGAAAAAAUUGGAACAGGCAAAUUUUAUUUUUAUAUGUUUCAAUUCUUUAUUUUUUUACAUACUUAUUUAUAAUGUAUCGGGAGAGUUAUGCCUACUAAUGAGUGUUCGUGUUGUAAACAUUGGAAUUAUGCCAUUGUAUUGCAUUUAUUGUAGUUUUGUAAAUAUAAAUUUUGUUUUAUGAAA